Long non-coding RNA from Drosophila nasuta, 694 nucleotides. RefSeq lists it as uncharacterized. The transcript is spliced from 2 exons. The record is from RefSeq and is a predicted model, not a curated record. Lineage: Eukaryota; Metazoa; Arthropoda; Insecta; Diptera; Drosophilidae.
GUUUCAGCAUCUAAAAUUAGUAACUUUCCACUCUCCGUUUUACAACAUCACUUAUAUUCCCUGACAACAAUUUAGACGGCAGCAGUAUCCCAUUACACACAUAACCAUAAUGAAACAUAUAAAAAACACGAAAACAAUACCGCAGAUAACAAGGGGUAUAUAAAUUUCAGCGAAAAACGUAAUUAAACUCAUUAGAAAAUUUUGAUGUCACAAAUAUAUUUCAUAAAUAAUAAUACUGAGAAUUUUUGGAAUUUCUACACAAAUUUUUGCCCGCUAAUCUAUAAAAUUAAAACAAAAAAUUUGGAAAUAAUUUAGAAUUCUGCAAAAUUCGGUAAUAACUUGGAUCAAAAUGCAUAAUGCGACUGGACUAAGGACAUUAACAACAGAAACACCAUCAACACGUGGUGCAAGUAAUUUUACAAAAAAAUUGCUAAUAGGUUUAGGAAUAGUGCUUGCUAUAUUCUUUUUGUGCUGCUGUUGCAUUUUGCUAAUACUGUGCAGCCCUGUUCUUGGACUUAUGAGUUGUUGCGCUAUGUGUUGCGAUGCUGAUGAGGAUCUAUUUUAAUCUUUCGCUUAAUAAGGCGUUGAGAAUUCCAUACAAACCAUUGUUUUAUCUGUAUUAACCAGGAUAUGUCUGUACCUGGACCCUUUAAUAUUUAUACAAGAAAAUAUAUAAUCGUUAUAGCUGCACGUA